ACAUUCAACAAAUGCAGAAUAAUGGAAAGACAAUAAUCUAAGGUUUUCCAAACAGCAAGGAUUAUGAUAAACACUUUAGGCCCAAGAUCUACAGACCACCUUCUGCCCAAGAAAGAAAAAAUAGAGCGCGCAGUGGUCCAAAAAACGAAGCAUAGCCCAAGAACUUGCUAUCGGAACAAAGAAAUCAGCUAAAAGGCAUCUCUCCUGUACAGAGGUACAUGCAUGAUAAU
This 230-nucleotide long non-coding RNA is filed under the name Erythranthe guttata (spotted monkey flower). Its description in RNAcentral is "long non-coding RNA (EGUT_LNC003766)". The record is from RNAcentral. Lineage: Eukaryota; Viridiplantae; Streptophyta; Magnoliopsida; Lamiales; Phrymaceae.